UCCGGUUGAUCCUGCCAGAGGUUACUGCUAUCGGAGUUCGAUUAAGCCAUGCGAGUCUAAAGGUUUCUUCGGAAACCUUGGCGGACUGCUCAGUAACACGUGGAUAACCUACCCUUGGGACUGGGAUAACCCCGGGAAACUGGGGAUAAUACCGGAUAGAUCAGGGAUGCUGGAAUGCGCCUUGAUCCAAAGCUCCGGCGCCCAAGGAUGGGUCUGCGGCCUAUCAGGUAGUAGUGGGUGUAACGUACCUACUAGCCAACGACGGGUACGGGUUGUGAGAGCAAGAGCCCGGAGAUGGAUUCUGAGACACGAAUCCAGGCCCUACGGGGUGCAGCAGGCGCGAAACCUUUACAAUGUGCGAAAGCAUGAUAAGGGAACUCCGAGUGCCAGUAUCUAAUACUGGCUGUCCUUGUGCCUAAAACGCACAAGAUAGCAAGGGCCGGGUAAGACCGGUGCCAGCCGCCGCGGUAACACCGGCGGCCCGAGUGGUAGCCGCUAUUAUUGGGUCUAAAGGGUCCGUAGCCGGUUCGAUAAGUCCUCUGGGAAAUCUGGUUGCUUAACAAUCAGACUGCCAAGGGAUACUGUCGAACUUGAGACCGGGAGAGGUAAGAGGUACUUCAGGGGUAGGAGUGAAAUCUUGUAAUCCCUGGGGGACCAUCUGUGGCGAAGGCGUCUUACCAGAACGGGUCUGACGGUGAGGGACGAAAGCUGGGGGCGCAAACCGGAUUAGAUACCCGGGUAGUCCCAGCCGUAAACGAUGCUCGCUAUGUGUCAGGUACGGUGUGACCGUAUCUGGUGCCGUAGGGAAGCCGUGAAGCGAGCCACCUGGGAAGUACGGUCGCAAGACUGAAACUUAAAGGAAUUGGCGGGGGAGCAC
This 877-nucleotide ribosomal RNA is filed under the name uncultured archaeon. RNAcentral's name for it is "bacterial SSU rRNA". It matches the Rfam family "Archaeal small subunit ribosomal RNA", at positions 1 to 879 of the family's 1478-position model. The record is from RNAcentral.